GUGUCAGCCGCCGCGGUAAAACGUAGGACGCGAGCGUUAUCCGGAUUUACUGGGCGUAAAGCGCAUGCAGGCGGCCUUGUAAGUCGGAUGUGAAAUCUCCCGGCUCAACUGGGAGGCGUCAUUCGAUACUGCAAGGCUUGAGGGCAGGAGAGGGGAGUGGAAUUCCCGGUGUAGUGGUGAAAUGCGUAGAUAUCAAGAGGAACGCCGGUGGUGAAGACGACGCACUGGGCCUGCCCUGACGCUGAGACACGAAAGCGUGGGGAGCAAACAGGAUUAGAUACCCUGGUAGUCCACGCCCUAAACGAUGUCUACUAGGUUGUGGCCGUUCCGACGCGGUCACGGCCGAAGCGAAAGUGUUAAGUAGACCGCCUGGGGAGUACGGUCGCAAGGCUAAAACUUAAAGGAAUUGACGGGG
This 415-nucleotide ribosomal RNA is filed under the name uncultured prokaryote. RNAcentral's name for it is "bacterial SSU rRNA". It matches the Rfam family "Bacterial small subunit ribosomal RNA", at positions 505 to 918 of the family's 1533-position model. The record is from RNAcentral.